Molecule: long non-coding RNA, 235 nt
Filed under: Homo sapiens (human)
Lineage: Eukaryota; Metazoa; Chordata; Mammalia; Primates; Hominidae
Description: HSALNT0218012
Source: RNAcentral
UAAUAAUUGUCUUACUUGUGAACAUUUUCAUUUAGGGCGUGUACCAGACUUUAUCCUGGAAAAGAUACCAGCCAUGUUGGGUAUUGAUGGUCUCUGUGCUACUCCAUCACUGGAAGGCUUUGAAGAAGGUGAAUAUGAAACUCCUGGUGAAUAUAAGAGAAAGAGAAGACAACGUGUAGGAGGGCUACUGUAGCAAAGUACUACAAACUAGGUGGCUUAAACCAACAGAAAUUUG